This is a long non-coding RNA of Rosa chinensis, 776 nucleotides long. RefSeq lists it as uncharacterized. The transcript is spliced from 2 exons. Lineage: Eukaryota; Viridiplantae; Streptophyta; Magnoliopsida; Rosales; Rosaceae. The record is from RefSeq and is a predicted model, not a curated record.
UAGGUUCAAGUCUCGAUCAGAAAACUAAAAAGUUUGGCUAAUGAGGCUUAAAAUUAAUCAGGUAUUGUGAUUUGGUUGAACCAGUGCUGCUGCUAGCCAGCUAAUGCAUGCCUUGCAUGCAGUACAAAAUAAGCAUAGAAGAUAAAAAAGAACUUCAACUUUUCAAACCUGCCACCCACAUAUGACUGGUUUUUAUGGGACCCUUUACUUUGCUUCACCAGACAGAACCCAUCUCACCUCUACUCCUCAAUACUCACUACUCACCAAACCCAAAAACCCCACAACCCGGCCUUAAUUUCUCUGUCUCACUCUCAUUCACACUCUUUCACUACUUCGAUCACCGACUAACAGCUCAUUUGUGUCGCUGAAAGUUGCAAGCUUUUUAAGCUUUUGGGGUUCUUCUUCUUGUUUUUGUUGGACCCUUUUCGUUUUUUGUGUGCAAUGGAGGAUGGUGACUGGGUUCUGGUGCGGCCGCCUGCAGAGGAGGACCUCUGGACAAUAUGCCAUCUUAUAGAGGUGGGAUAAACACACUUUUGCAUUCUGGGGAACAAAUGUUGGACUUAAUGGAUCAUAUGAAGAGCAUUCUUGUAGAUGCUUGUAAUGUUGAAAGCUGAGAGCUAGAUUAAUUCAUCUGCUUAAUGAUGAUGAUGAAUUUAUUUUUUCCACUGUGCUUCAGCCUAUGCAAAUGUUGUUUCCUAUAUCUGUUUAGUGCUGCUUCUUUAGAGUGUAAAGAGUUCAGAAUAAAUCAAUAAAGAAGGUGAAAGGAUGUUUAAAUA